Molecule: ribosomal RNA, 546 nt
Filed under: Palythoa variabilis
Lineage: Eukaryota; Metazoa; Cnidaria; Anthozoa; Zoantharia; Sphenopidae
Description: partial 16S ribosomal RNA
Rfam family: Bacterial large subunit ribosomal RNA
Source: RNAcentral
GAGGGUGAUGCCUGCCCAAUGGUUGUAUCUAAAAGCAGUUGAUAAAAGUCGACCUCGUAAGGACAAUUGAAUGGCCGCGGUAACACUGACCGUGAUAAUGUAGCGUAAUCAAUAGCCAAUUAAUUGUUGGCCAGUAUGAAUGGCGCCACGAAGGCCCCACUGUCUUAAGGAAAUUCCCAGUGAAAUUGAAUUCGUAGUGAAGAUGCUACGUCCAAUUUGUUAGACGAAAAGACCCCGUUGAGCUUUACUGGGGCACUUACACGGCCCUCGGCCUUCCCGUGCCCGGGAACCGGCCGAAUUUAAAUGGGUGGUUUAGACUAUGUGGCAGCCCCCCGCCGGGGCAGAUGAAACCCCACUCCCCCAUGUCAAAGGGGCUAACCCCCCCCUUGGGGGGGACAGUGUAAGUAGGACAGUUUGGUUGGGGCGACCGCCUUUUAAAGAGUAACGAAGGUGCGCUUAAGGUGCGCAAUUAAUGACUGAAGCCUGACUGCGAGGGGGAUACCCCGAGCAGACACCCCCCAAGCCCGCCCGAGGGCGGCGGUGGGG